AGGAGCUACAACUAGGGCAGCUGGGAAAAGUAGCUUACUAAAAUCAUUGACAGUUAGAUAAGCCUGAUGCAUCUGACACAUUUUCUACAUUAUAUGAUUACCCAGCAACUCUGGCAAGUUGGUAUAUUAUUCUCAUUCUAUUUCAAAAGAAACUGAAGCUCAUAGGCGCUUUCUGAGUCACCCAGAUCACAAAACCUGUUGGGAUAACAAUAGCUGCCUCUUGUCUGACAUUCCCCUGGUGCACACCAUAGUCCUAGGAGAUUAGGAAGGCAAUUGCUGUGUCAACUCAAGGGUGAAGAGAUGCACAGAUGGAUGAAUGGAAGAAGACUUCUAUGCAGCCGAGCAAGCAGCUCAAAGUGAGCUCCAGGCACACUUUUGCUGGGGACUCUUGCAUAUGCUGUUUCUUCCCCCUACAUUCUAGUCCCUCACAUAUGCACAGGCCUCAUACCCUCCCAUCCUGCAGGUCUUAGCUCAGAUAUCAGCUUCUCAGUGAAAGGUUUUCUGCCUACCAGACCCAAAACUGAAAGACCUACCCUUCAUCAUCCCUGCCCUGGGGAGGUCCCUUUU
This 567-nucleotide long non-coding RNA is filed under the name Pan troglodytes (chimpanzee). RNAcentral describes it as "long non-coding RNA NONPTRT016859". The record is from RNAcentral. Lineage: Eukaryota; Metazoa; Chordata; Mammalia; Primates; Hominidae.